This is a long non-coding RNA of Oreochromis aureus, 1569 nucleotides long. RefSeq lists it as uncharacterized. NCBI's taxonomy places the organism in Eukaryota, Metazoa, Chordata, Actinopteri, Cichliformes, Cichlidae. The transcript has 2 exons. The record is from RefSeq and is a predicted model, not a curated record.
AACUUCUGCCUCCAAAAAGAAAGAUGUGGACAAAAUCCUGAAGCUUCCAAAACAAAUGGGAACAUCAUGCUGUCUGUGGAUUCACUGACCUUUGACAGGCUACGGUGAGGCCGAUCUGGCGAGUGUGACUCGGGUGUACCGUACGAAGCGCAGCAAAAACCAAGGCAACCCGGAUAUCGAAGUCCUCCACGGAGAACGUAAAGGUAAUCUGCAUCUUCACAUUCAAAGCAAAUAUGAGCUGCUGACGCCAGCAUCUAUUUGUGCACGCGUCUGUCCUACACGCGUCGCUAGCUGAGCCCAGGAGGCAUAGAGGGGAAAAUCUGCGUUUUCGUUGCGGAUCAUAAAGUAGCAACCCCGGUGAGGCCUGUUGGUCCUUACAUCUGUUUGAUUGUUGGUUUAGUUCCUGGUUAAAAUCUAUUAAAUUGCUCCAAAAAGUAUCAAAAUAUAGAAAUCAUUAUUGAUAAUACUCGACCAAAUCACAUCUACGUCUAAUAUUAAGGUAAUGAAGUGCUAUCCAAACACGACCACCAAGCUAUGGCCGGAAACAAUUUAAUACAAAAUAAAAUGCAACAAGUUUAUUGUGGCUAAAUUCAACAAAAAAUAAAGAAAUUGCACGAUCUAUGACGGCGAAUUAAAGAAACAAGUCCAGUUGAAGUCUUGCACACUCCUUUGUGCUUCUUUGAGUGGCAGCUGAAAUACUGAUUGGGUGCUUUGAAAGGUGCCGUUUUACCCUCACUAUGUACAACAGAAAACAUCAGAGGAGCCAGCGAUGUCUCGCACACAGGCGUGCCUAACAUUUCUACCAUCACUUUGUCUUCCCUUCCAGCACAGCAGGACAGAAAGGCACAUGUGGGCGACUGUCAACCAGGCGAACGCGCAAUCUCUCCUCUCAGCCACAUGUUCCUAUCGUUGUAAUGGAAUACAUUCUUUAACGCAACCUUUGUAUUGACACAGCAACAGGUAUGAGGUUACUCUACUCUAAUGAGUGCUAUUUUCUGUAUGUAAAGAUAUAAACAUGUAAAUACCAAAGAUCAGAUGACUCUUUUUAAACUACAUCAUGACCUCCACCUACAGCUCUCUACGUGACCUCUGUGAAGAUAUGUUGACUGGAAAUACACCAAAGACUACAGAAACAAAUGGACACAACUGAUUUCUCAAAUUCACCGUAGGAAAAACAGUCACUGAGAAACUGUAACAAGUGGUUUUCACUUUGAGAGGACUUAAGAAAUAGCACAAGUCACUACGAGACAGAUUAUCUUUGAGUAUGAGCGUCCCUAUAGCUACAGCAAAUAUACUGAAAAGACCAAGUGGACCUCUGGGUUUCUGUUUCUCUACGUCAGCGGGAGCCCCGAAGAGACGGAAAUAGAAACGCAGAGGAAAUUCAUCACAAACUCUGUUGUGUGGUGGUUUACACACUGCCUUCCUAACAGGAAGGAAGGGAAUCAAACGUAAACAAAAAUGCCAAAUGAACAAAUGUGGAGCUAGCGUCUGUGGCGACCCGCCCGUGAAUACCGGAGCAGCUGAAAAUAUCGUAGAUCUUCUCCGAUACGAUAAACUUGAUUUGUUUGA